This 1798-nucleotide long non-coding RNA is filed under the name Strigops habroptila (Kakapo). RNAcentral describes it as "lncRNA (ENSSHBG00005003704.1)". The record is from RNAcentral. Lineage: Eukaryota; Metazoa; Chordata; Aves; Psittaciformes; Psittacidae.
GCCUCCUCCUCCGCGCCGUUGCUGGGGCAGCCGCUGUCAAUAGCCCCCGCGCGCCGCGGCGGCCCCUUUAAGCGUAGCGUGGCAACGGCCACCGAGUCCGCAGGGCAGGUACCGGCAGCGGCGCGGCGCGGCCCGGCAGGGGGGCCGCGGGCGGGGGGGGUUGUCCUGGGGCUGGGGGAGCGGGUCCGGGCCUGGGCUUGGCCUUCCGGGGGGACGCGGUACUCGAUCCCGACGUGCCCUGAGGGCCGGGUCCAGCGGCUCGGCCCCGGGGCUGGCGGCUGCGCCCCCGGGCACCCAGCGGCGGGGUUCGGGCGUGGAGGAGAGGUGUUGGCCCAGCACCGGCGGGUGUCAGGCAGCAGGCUUUCCGAAAAGCGGUGUGUGCGGGGCCGCAAGUGGUCAGUGCCUUCCUCAGAAGUCGUUUGUUGUAGGGUUAAGUGAUUGCACUUAAAAUGUACUCUCACAUGCAGUUAGUUGUUUUAAAAAGCGUUAAUUAAAAAUAACGUUUGAUCUGUACUUUAAGAGCUUCUCGCCAGUGAAGGAGAAUCACUCGCUCACACGGUGGGAGCUGGAGAGCGGCUUUUGGGAGCGGCUGAGUUGAACUACGUAAGUCCACACACAGCAGAGGCACAGGUGGGAAUGUGAAUGGGGGCACGGGCCUCCUUGGUGGAGGGUUUAGAAACAUCAUCUCUCCUCCUGGCUGCAGGACUGCCUGCAUGUUACCUGUUUGGACUACCGGUUCCUCAUCUCUGAGCUGGGGCUUACAGCAACCUUUUCAUUUUGAGAUCUGUUGAUGAAAGUAACUCUGAAGUAUUACUGUCAGAUACGUUUAACAUUGGCUUUUAAAACCAGAGAGCAUUUUAAUUCACCAAAAGCUGUUAAACCUAGAAGAAAUGAAUAUAGUUAAGUCAGCAGGUGCAGAAAGCUUCCCUAAUAAAUACUUGCUACUCAGUAAAGCCUCAUCAGUGAGUAUGUUUUGAUGUGAUACAAGUAAAUCUCUUUUCUGGAAAAACUCUGGUAUUUGGAUGUGAAAAAUAUGGGUGGAGGGAGAGGAGGAAUGCAAAGUUAUAGUUAGGUUAAAGUUAUUCUUUGCUCUUUAAUAAGUUCAGCACUUUAAUAAUUUGGAUUGAUGCUGUUGUAUUUGUCUGAAGCUGCCUCUCUCUUGUGCUGUGCCUCUCUCAGAAUAGGUGGAAAAACUGAUUGAACCGUUAGAGGUCAGCAUUUGUACUCGGAAAUGUCACGUGGUGACCAGUAAAGGCAUUUAGCUUCCUCUGAUAUCAGAAGGGUCUUAAGAUUGAAAAGGGCUUGAAAAGUUUCAUAAGUCUUGUAUUGCAGAACUAAGCUCUGGGUGUCCUGUGAGGGAACUGGGUAAUUUUCCUUUCUCUCUAUUGCUUAAUACCUGUAAUCCAGUAGUUCAAUUUCUGCCUAUGUGAGUUACUUAGGAGUGAUAGGGGGACAGUAUUCUGUCACCACUGGUAGUGGUUUGUGUUCUCUGUUUUGUCUGUCACAUCCUUUGCAGUGACCUAGAGCUUGACUGUUUUUUUGUGAUAAUGACCAUGUUUUCAAUACCAGAUAUGUAAGUAAUAGCAAUAGAUAGAAGCAAAAGAAUGUGAAAUUCUGGAAACAAAACUAUUUCUGAAGUUUGUGCAAGUCCCGGAUUUACUUCGGCCGUUCUAUACUGAUGCAUUAGGCUUCCAAAAGCAUGUGUGGAGUAUUUGAGAGGAGGGGCUUGGGGUUUUGGUGGUGGUGGAGCUUAGUAGACCCACUGCUAACCCACAAUGUUUGACUCCUCAGCAGCUUA